UACGCCAAUAGAGGCUCGUCCAAUGAGGACGUGAAACCGAUGAGGUGGAAACGGAUAGAGCCAGCGUAUCUGGCCUGUAUUCAACUGCAUUGUUGUGAGCAGUUGGGCGCUGCAUCUCCAGAUUGGGACAGUCCUGGCUUGCAAGCAACAAUGUUGUGCAUUUGCAGGUCGAGUGCGCCGAGACUUUCGAGAAGGCGAUAUGAGCUCAAUUUUGAGGCCAGCUUGCUGGUACCCGGAUUGGAGGAAUGUUGUUCGUUUUGGAUGUGAAUGGGGGAAAGGUUUUCGGCCCCCAUUGGUUUCAAAUUGGGGGGGGGGGGCAAUUUCCUCCAAAUUGUUCCUUCCGCCAAUUCGGUCCGGGGGGAGCCCUAACCCCCCCCCCUGGAAAAAAUUGGAAAUCCUGCCCCCCCCUCUUGAAAACAGGAACAAGAAUUUUUUCCGUGCCCUUGUUUUUGGUUGUUAAAAACUCAAAGGGCCAUUUGAAGAAGGAUCCCUCCGAGAUACAGCUGGUGAUAGAAACAAUCACAAUGGCCUGGAACAAAAUGUCCCCCCUUCUGGCCCUUUGUGAUCGGUUGGAUGAAAAUCUACUCUCGUAUCCCCCCAAAUAGUGUGUAAAUAUUCCUCACGAGGACAAAUCCUGAUAAACUCUGGGGGGAAUCCCAACGAUCCAACCUCUCAUCCCAUCAGUGACUGUCCUUUGGUCGAACAAUUAUAUAUCUUCUAUUUUCUUUUCUUUCUAUAAAUAAAAAUAACAUA
Molecule: ribosomal RNA, 753 nt
Filed under: Pratylenchus sp. 2 DTN-2018
Lineage: Eukaryota; Metazoa; Nematoda; Chromadorea; Rhabditida; Pratylenchidae
Description: partial 28S ribosomal RNA
Source: RNAcentral